RNAcentral lists this ribosomal RNA (649 nucleotides) under uncultured bacterium. RNAcentral describes it as "bacterial SSU rRNA". It matches the Rfam family "Bacterial small subunit ribosomal RNA", at positions 8 to 658 of the family's 1533-position model. The record is from RNAcentral.
AGAGUUUGAUCCUGGCUCAGGACGAACGCUGGCGGCGUGCUUAAUGCAUGCAAGUCGAACGAAGAACCCACUAUGGGUAACCACUGUGGAAUUCUUAGUGGCGAACGGGUGAGUAACACGUGAGAAACCUGCCCCGGAGACCGGAAUAGCCCAGGGAAACCUGGAUUAAUACCGGAUACCCUCUUGCGAUCGCAUGAUCGAUUGAGGAAAUGGUCCGCCGCUCCGGGAUGGUCUCGCGCCCUAUCAGCUAGUUGGUGAGGUAACGGCUCACCAAGGCAAUGACGGGUAGCUGGUCUGAGAGGACGAUCAGCCACACUGGGACUGAGACACGGCCCAGACUCCUACGGGAGGCAGCAGCAGGGAAUUUUGCACAAUGGGCGAAAGCCUGAUGCAGCGACGCCGCGUGGGGGAUGAAUGCCUUCGGGUUGUAAACCCCUUUCAGGAGGGACGAAGCGAAAGUGACGGUACCUCCAGAAGAAGCCCCGGCCAACUACGUGCCAGCAGCCGCGGUAAUACGUAGGGGGCGAGCGUUGUCCGGAUUUAUUGGGCGUAAAGAGCUCGUAGGCGGCUCAGCAAGUCGGCCGUGAAAACCUGAGGCUCAACCUCAGGACGCCGGUCGAAACUGCUGUGGCUAGGGUUCGGUAGAGGA